AUUUAGAGGAAGGAGAAGUCGUAACAAGGUUUCCGUAGGUGAACCUGCGGAAGGAUCAUUGUCGAUGCCUAAACAUCAAACGACCCGCGAACGCGUUUACAAACCUUCCGUGCCGGGGGACCUCCUCCCAUCGAGCGAGCGAGCAAGCGAGGACUCCCAUGUCGACCCUCUGAACGUCGUCCACAAAGACGAUGCUCUCGACGCGACCCCAGGUCAGGCGGGAUUACCCUGC
RNAcentral lists this unclassified non-coding RNA (232 nucleotides) under Trichosanthes pilosa. RNAcentral's name for it is "sequence contains ITS1, 5.8S rRNA gene and ITS2". The stretch from base 1 to 61 matches the Rfam family "Eukaryotic small subunit ribosomal RNA", at positions 1771 to 1831 of the family's 1831-position model. Lineage: Eukaryota; Viridiplantae; Streptophyta; Magnoliopsida; Cucurbitales; Cucurbitaceae. The record is from RNAcentral.